CCAGCAGUCAUCCUUCUACCCAGUACAGGGGAAAUUUCUUUUUCCUGUACUAGGCUUAGGGAAUAGCACUUUGGGGGGCUAACCCCUGGUGCUGCCCUAACCUCUUCCUCACAAAACCUUUCAUACAGCUGUGAGAGGCAAACUUCUCAGUUGUCAGCAUUUCCAGGAAGAAAGAACCCCUUGAGUGAUCUCCAUGUGACCUCGUCUGUCUCAGGUUCAUGAACAUGAAGGUGAGAGCAGCUCUUCCUCACAGCAUGACCAGGCAGUGACAAACACGCCACAUGGAAGGAAAUGAGUGAACAAUCCUCGCAUAUUCUGAAAUGAGGAGAUUGAGGUGCAAAGAGAGGCUAAGUUGCCCAAGGUUGCAUGUCUAAAAAGUAUCAGAGGAUGAGAAUACAGAUCUGACCAGGAUUCUAAAGCCCACGUCAUUCCCUCCACACCUGGUAGCUUCAGCCUUGCCCAGCUCCUGGUGGAACUUCCGCUCCGGGAUCCUGAAAUGCCCUGCAUGAAUCAUCAAGGGACAAAAAGAGGAGACUUUCCAGGGACUGACGCCCUCCCAGCCACCGUGGGAUCCCGGCUACUGUGACUGAGCCCAGUCAUGACUCCAGAGUGCUUCACAUCACAUCAUUCUUUCUCAGCAUCCAAAAUAUGAAGGAACUGAACCUCAGAGAGAAGAGAUAACCCUGGUCGGCCAGUAAACUGUAGAGAUCCAAUUUGAAUUCUCCCCUCUGUCUGGCUCCGACACAUGGGGUUUUCUUAACUCACACUGUGUCACCUGCAGAGUGUUUCCCUUCGGGGGAGAGAAACCCAAAAUAGUGAAAACGAACAGAAAAAGUUUGAAGAGUUCUGCUUCGGCACUUGAAGCCAAUCUCCCUACAGUCUUCUUCCUGUUCAUGCUUCCAAGAUGCUAUCAGGGAGGCUGGGCGCUGGGGACAUUUACACUCCUUGCCUCCCCAACCCCAACCUCGAGGAUUUCUGUAGGGGUGAAAUCACCUCAUUAAAGCUGUACCUUGUUGCGGGGGCGGGGGUGGAUGGGCAGAAGAACUCAUGAGGUGAUCAUA
This 1061-nucleotide long non-coding RNA is filed under the name Homo sapiens (human). RNAcentral describes it as "HSALNT0293902". Lineage: Eukaryota; Metazoa; Chordata; Mammalia; Primates; Hominidae. The record is from RNAcentral.